GUGCCAGCAGCCGCGGUAAUACGUAGGGGGCGAGCGUUGUCCGGAAUUAUUGGGCGUAAAGAGCUCGUAGGCGGUCCUUUAAGUCUGAUGUGAAAUCUCAGGGCUCAACCCUGAAACUGCAUCAGAUACUGGGGGACUUGAGGUAGGUAGGGGAAGGUGGAAUUCCUGGUGUAGCGGUGAAAUGCGCAGAUAUCAGGAGGAACACCCGUGGCGAAGGCGGCCUUCUGGGCCUUACCUGACGCUGAGGAGCGAAAGCGUGGGGAGCGAACAGGAUUAGAAACCCUAGUAGUCC
Molecule: ribosomal RNA, 292 nt
Filed under: uncultured bacterium
Lineage: Bacteria
Description: partial 16S ribosomal RNA
Rfam family: Bacterial small subunit ribosomal RNA
Source: RNAcentral